GACGCGGAGACUGCGCGCACAAGGAGGACGCGGGCGUGCGCUGCUUGGGUGAGUGGGGGGCGGUGGGAGAUGGGUCAUGAGGCCGGCAGAGGCCGCUGGGAUGGAGUCGGUCUUGAGUGUUGCUUCCGUCGCUUCGGUGGGCAGGAGAGCACGCCCAGGCUUUAGCGGGCUGGUUUCCACCCUGGGAUUUUUCUGGGAUAAGCUGAUUUGCUGUGGAGGCCUGUUUGGGACAUGCACCCCCUGAGGUUUCCUCCAAUCUUUUUUGGGAAUUCCCUUUUGUUUAUUCCAAUGCUUGUUCAUUUCGGGUACGUGUCACCUGGGUGUUGGCAGGUUCAGUUGUUCCCAAAGCCUGCACCUCAUUCUCUUUGCAGAAAACAAACAGUUAACCACAGCGAUGACCUUAGCACAAAUAGCAGCAAGCCUGGCCCAGGCUCCCCGCUGCCUGCAGCGCCCUUCCGGACACUCUGGGUGGUCAGUGUCAUCCUGGGAGCCCUUCUUGGUCUUCUCCUUCUGGGCCUCAUGGCCUUUCUGAUUCUGCCUCGAGUCACACAAGCCAUGCAGAGGGGUCUGGGAAGAUCUGAGGCAUCUCCUGAAGAAGCGAUCUAUGAUGUCAUUGGGGAAAUGCCGCUAGCAGGACUGUACGAGGAAAUCGUGGAGGCUGAGGCCGUGCCCCAGGAUGAGGAGGACGCAGGUGUGGUGAAGGGGGACACAGAAACAGCAGUUUCAGGGGAGGCGUCUAACCUCCUGGAGGGACAGUCUACACGUGUGGAGGGAGGAACCAACAGACCCGUUUCUCAGGGAUAUGACGAGGCUGUGUUUCCACUGGAGGAGAUGACAUUGUAAAGCACCCUGAGGAGGAGAUCCACCAGCUGGCUGUCGAAAUCACAGCUCUUCAUUCUCUUGUACAGUUGUAGUAGAUUUCGUGAGAACGUCUUGGAUGCCUUUCUCUUGCAAUGUCCUCCACAUCCGUAUAAAAUCCAGUCUUUCCAGGCCCUGCCUGGCUCUAACCCCCAGCCCCUUCGAGGGCCAUCUGCUGUGGACGGUUGUGCUGGGUAACCUUCAGAUUUCUCACACAUUACAGCAAAUGCAAAUAUGUAUAGAAAUCAGUGGUUACGUUUGUGGUUUAGAGACACGUGGUGCCAUCUUCAUCUUCUGCACCCAGCAGUGCGUUGCAGAGCUCCUCACGCCAGAACAUUCCUCUUUUUUCUUAAAAACUCUUCUUAAUUGAAUCCAAAGUAUCUUUUAGAUGUCUACUUGUGUAAUCAUGUCAUCCGUGAAUAUUCAGAUUUAUCUUCUCCUUCCAAUCCAUGUACCUUUAAUCUCUUUUUCUGUGCUUUAUUUUGUGGACUGGGACCCUUCAGUCCAGUGUUGAAUAGAGGUGGCCAAUGGGGAUCUUGUCUCAUUCAUGGACUCAGAGCAAACGUGUUCCACAUUUAAUUUCACUAUUAAAUAUAAUAUUUGAUGUUCGGUUUUGUAGAUGCUAUUUAUCAGAUCAAGGAAAGCCCAGUCUAUCCCUAAUUUGUUAAGGGUUUUGCUUUUUAUCAUAAAUAAGUGUUGACUUUUAUGAAAUUCUUUUUGGUAUCUAUUAAGAUGAUAGAUGAUUUGAUUUUCAUAUGUUACAUUAACCAUGGGUUAAACAAACUUACCUUUAUCAUGAUAUAUUAUUCUUUUUGUAUUUCAC
Molecule: long non-coding RNA, 1681 nt
Organism: Cercocebus atys (sooty mangabey)
Lineage: Eukaryota; Metazoa; Chordata; Mammalia; Primates; Cercopithecidae
Source: Ensembl